Molecule: transfer RNA, 73 nt
Filed under: Chaetomium globosum CBS 148.51
Lineage: Eukaryota; Fungi; Ascomycota; Sordariomycetes; Sordariales; Chaetomiaceae
Also listed under: 2 other names
Description: tRNA-Val (TAC) (tRNA-Val-TAC-2-1)
Rfam family: tRNA
About the family: Transfer RNA (tRNA) molecules are approximately 80 nucleotides in length. Their secondary structure includes four short double-helical elements and three loops (D, anti-codon, and T loops).
Source: RNAcentral
GGCUGCGUGGCCCAGUGGUUAAGGCAUCUGCUUUACACGCAGAGGAUCGCAGGUUCGAGCCCUGCCGCGGUCA